This 75-nucleotide transfer RNA is filed under the name Thermoplasmata archaeon. Its description in RNAcentral is "tRNA-Thr". It matches the Rfam family "tRNA". From Rfam's summary of the family: Transfer RNA (tRNA) molecules are approximately 80 nucleotides in length. Their secondary structure includes four short double-helical elements and three loops (D, anti-codon, and T loops). Further hydrogen bonds mediate the characteristic L-shaped molecular structure. tRNAs have two regions of fundamental functional importance: the anti-codon, which is responsible for specific mRNA codon recognition, and the 3' end, to which the tRNAs corresponding amino acid is attached (by aminoacyl-tRNA synthetases). tRNAs cope with the degeneracy of the genetic code in two manners: having more than one tRNA (with a specific anti-codon) for a particular amino acid; and 'wobble' base-pairing, i.e. permitting non-standard base-pairing at the 3rd anti-codon position. RNAcentral also lists the same sequence under 1 other name. Lineage: Archaea; Methanobacteriati; Thermoplasmatota; Thermoplasmata. The record is from RNAcentral.
GCCGGUGUGGCUUAGAGGUAUAGCGACACCUUGGUAAGGUGUAGGUCGUGGGUUCAAUUCCCACCACCGGCUCCA